This 1147-nucleotide ribosomal RNA is filed under the name uncultured organism. Its description in RNAcentral is "bacterial SSU rRNA". It matches the Rfam family "Bacterial small subunit ribosomal RNA", at positions 58 to 1227 of the family's 1533-position model. The record is from RNAcentral.
CAAGUCGAACGAGAACCCUUGGAUUCGUCUGGGGGGGAGAGUGGCGAACUGGUGGGUAACACGUGGGUGACCUGCCCCGAAGACGGGGAUAACCGUUGGAAACGACGGCUAAUACCCGAUAUACUCGGUGAUUCGGUUUAUCGAGUAAAGGCUCCGGUGCUUCGGGACGGGCCUGCGGCCUAUCAGCUAGUUGGUGGGGUAAUGGCCCACCAAGGCGAAGACGGGUAGGGGGCGUGAGAGCGCGGNCCCCCACACUGGCACUGAGAUACGGGCCAGACUUCUACGGAAGGCAGCAGUCGGGGAUAUUGCACAAUCGGCGAAAGCCGGAUGCAGCGACGCCGCGUGGGCGAUGAAGGCCUUCGGGUUGUAAAGCCCUUUUAUGGGGGAAGAGACAAGGACGGUACCCCAAGAAUAAGCGUCGGCUAACUACGUGCCAGCAGCCGCGGUAAAACGUAGGACGCAAGCGUUAUCCGGAUUUACUGGGCGUAAAGAGCGUUGAGGCGGUUCCGUAAGUUGGGCGUGAAAGCCCCGGGCUUAACCCGGGGAGGUCGUUCAAUACUGCGGGACUUGAGGGCAGCAGAGGGAGGCGGAAUUCCCGGUGUAGCGGUGACAUGCCGUAGAUAUCGGGAGGAAACACCAGUGGCAAAGCGCGCCCUCAUGGCCUGUUCUCUGACCCUGAAGCCGAAAGAUAGGGGACCGAACGGGAUUAGGAACCCCGUUAGUCCCUACCCGUAAACGAUGGAUCCUGGUUUUUGGGGGUUAUAGAUCCCCUCCGUGCCGAAGCUAACGCGUUAAGCAUCCCGCCUGGGGAUUACGCCCGCAAGGCUUUAAACUCAAACGAAUUGACGGGGGCCCGCACAAGUACCGGAGCGUGUGGUUUAAUUCGAUGCUACACGAAGAACCUUACCUGGGCUUGACAUGUAGGUAGUCGUGGAGGCGUAAGCGGAACGACCCUUCGGGGAGCAUACACAGGUGCUGCAUGCCUGUCGUCAGUUCGUCCCGUGAGGUGUCGGUUUAAGUCCCGUAACGAACGCAACCCUUGCCCUUAGUUACAUGUGUCUAAGGGGACUGCCCGGCACAACUGGGAGGAAGGUGGGGAUGACGUCAAGUCAGCAUGGCCUUUAUGUCCAGGGCUACACACACGCUA